UACGUAGGGUGCAGGCGUUAAUCGGAAUUACUGGGCGUAAAGAGCUCGUAGGUGGUUUGUCGCGUUGUUCGUGAAAACUCACAGCUCAACUGUGGGCGUGCGGGCGAUACGGGCAGACUGGAGUACUGCAGGGGAGACUGGAAUUCCUGGUGUAGCGGUGGAAUGCGCAGAUAUCAGGAGGAACACCGGUGGCGAAGGCGGGUCUCUGGGCAGUAACUGACGCUGAGGAGCGAAAGCGUGGGGAGCGAACAGG
This 253-nucleotide ribosomal RNA is filed under the name uncultured bacterium. Its description in RNAcentral is "partial 16S ribosomal RNA". It matches the Rfam family "Bacterial small subunit ribosomal RNA", at positions 524 to 776 of the family's 1533-position model. The record is from RNAcentral.